CAGCAGUCGCCGCGGUAACACCGAGGGUGCGAGCGUUAAUCGGAUUUACUGGGCGUAAAGCGUGCGUAGGCGGCUAAUUGAGUCGGAUGUGAAAUCCCCGAGCUUAACUUGGGAAUUGCAUUCGAUACUGGUUAGCUAGAGUGUGGGAGAGGAUGGUAGAAUUCCAGGUGUAGCGGUGAAAUGCGUAGAGAUCUGGAGGAAUACCGAUGGCGAAGGCAGCCAUCUGGCCUAACACUGACGCUGAGGUACGAAAGCAUGGGGAGCAAACAGGAUUAGAUACCCCAGUAGUCCCUGUCUCUUAUAC
RNAcentral lists this ribosomal RNA (304 nucleotides) under uncultured bacterium. RNAcentral's name for it is "partial 16S ribosomal RNA". It matches the Rfam family "Bacterial small subunit ribosomal RNA", at positions 509 to 807 of the family's 1533-position model. The record is from RNAcentral.